This is a long non-coding RNA of Hippocampus comes (tiger tail seahorse), 144 nucleotides long. RefSeq lists it as uncharacterized. The record is from RefSeq and is a predicted model, not a curated record. NCBI's taxonomy places the organism in Eukaryota, Metazoa, Chordata, Actinopteri, Syngnathiformes, Syngnathidae. The transcript has 3 exons.
UGGAGAACUGUACUUCUUUGUGUUCCGUGCUGCAUGCUGUUCAGAUCUGGACUCAAGGCCUGGCCAGCUGCGAGGAGUGGGCUCAGAAAAAGCGACCCUUUAGUUUGUGUCCAGCUACCGCCACCCAAAAGGGUAAAAAAAAAA